RNAcentral lists this ribosomal RNA (463 nucleotides) under uncultured bacterium. Its description in RNAcentral is "partial 16S ribosomal RNA". It matches the Rfam family "Bacterial small subunit ribosomal RNA", at positions 28 to 507 of the family's 1533-position model. The record is from RNAcentral.
GAUCAACGCUGGCGGCGUGCCUAAUGCAUGCAAGUCGAACGGGGCAUCCUUCGUGGUGCUUACGUGUCGGACGGGUGAGGAACACGUGGGCAAGCUGCCCUGAGGUGGGGGCUAGCCGCCGAAAACGGCGGAUAAUUCCGCAUGACCUCAUCGCCCUGCGGGGGGGUGGAGGGAAGGCGCGCGAUGGUGGGGUUGGGAUUGGCCUGCGGGCGUUUCGCUUGUUGGGUGGGUAACUGCCUAGCAAGGCGGUGAUCGGUAGCUGGGCUGGGAGGCCGGCCAGACAGGGGGGGAGUGAGACACGGCCCUGACUCCUACGGGAGGCGGGAGCAAGGAAUUUUCCGGAAUGGAAGAAAGACGGACGGAGCAACGCCGCGUGGGGGAGGACGCCUUUCGGGGUGUAAACUUCUUUUGUUGGGGACGACGACCGACGGUACCGGAGGAAGAAGGACCGGCUAACUACGUG